RNA transcript from Fukomys damarensis (Damara mole-rat), 2315 nucleotides. It is a transcript of the gene named cerebral endothelial cell adhesion molecule, with no coding region annotated. The record is from RefSeq and is a predicted model, not a curated record. Lineage: Eukaryota; Metazoa; Chordata; Mammalia; Rodentia; Bathyergidae. The transcript has 10 exons.
AAGCCUGGCGGAGGAUUGGGUGCACACCUGUGGUCUCCGCACUCUGAAGACUGAAGCAGGAUUACUGCAAGUUCAAGGCCAGCCUGGGCUAGUGCGACCCUGAUAGAAAUCCCGGUGCAGGGCCAGAUCAGAUGUUGAGUGUGGAUUCUGACAUUCGAGUUCAGAUAGGUACUGAGCCUGGCUCCCUGAGACAGGCCCUGGGGUAUGUACACCGAGGACUCCAGUCUCCCUCUUGUAGGAGGCCUUUGUACCCGCCCAGCCAGCUCUCAGAGAGUUAGAGCUGCUUCUCUGGUCUGGGCUCGAGGCUGGUCCGUAGGCAGUGCCCUGGCCCGGAUCUGGGUGAGGAGCACGGGGAACUCACAGCAACACCCUCUAGGGGCCUGUGCCGGCCUCAAGGGACCCCAACCCAGCCAGUUCCCUGGGGGCUGUAGGCCCGUGACAUCCGCCCCACAGUUUUCAGACACCGACAACAUUCUGACCAACAACCGGACGCUGCGGUUUCUGACAGAGCAGGGGCUGCCCGUGGCGGCCCCGAUGCUGGACUCACAGACCUACUACUCCAACUUCUGGUGUGGGAUCACCCCUCAGGGCUACUACCGCCGCACAGCCGACUACUUCCCCACCAAGAACCGCCAGCGCCAGGGCUGCUUCCGGGUCCCCAUGGUCCAUUCCACCUUCCUGGUAUCACUACGGGCUGAGGGGACAGCCCAGCUCGCCUUCUACCCCCCUCACCCCAACUACACAUGGCCCUUCGAUGACAUCAUUGUCUUCGCCUACGCCUGUGAGGCUGCUGGCGUCUCGGUCUACGUGUGCAACCAGCACCAGUUCGGGUACAUGAAUGUGGCCGUGGGUCCCCACGAGGGGCUGGAGGAGGAGAAGGUCAACUUCAUCCACCUGGUCCUACAAUCGCUAGUGGAUGGGCCCCCCAUGCAGGCCUCCACUCAUGUGUCUUGGCCCCCAAAGAGGCCCAGCAGGCUGGGGUUUGAUGAGGUCUUUGUCAUCAGCCUGGCCCGCAGGCCUGUCCGUCGCCAGCGAAUGCUCAGCUCACUCUGGGAGAUGGAGAUCUCCGGACGCGUGGUGGAUGCUGUGGACGGCCGGGUGCUCAACAGCAGCGUCCUCAGGAGACUGGGCGUGGAUCUGCUCCCUGGCUACCAGGACCCCUACUCGGGACGCACGCUGACCAAGGGCGAGGUGGGCUGCUUCCUCAGCCACUACUCCAUCUGGGAGGAGGUGGCGGCCAGGGGCCUGGCCCAGGUCCUGGUGUUCGAAGACGACGUCCGCUUUGAGAGGAACUUCCGGCGGCGGCUGGAGCGGCUGAUGGAGGAGGUGGCCGGGCAGAAGCUGGAAUGGGACUUGAUCUACCUGGGCCGGAAGCAGGUGAGCCCGGAGGAGGAGGUGGCCGUGGAGGGGCUGCCGGGCCUGGUGGUGGCCGGGUACUCGUACUGGACCCUGGCCUAUGCCCUGAGCCUGGCGGGCGCCCGGAAGUUGCUGGCCUCGCAGCCCCUGCGCCGCAUGGUGCCUGUGGACGAGUUCCUGCCCAUCAUGUUCGACAGGCACCCCAAUGAGCAGUACAAGGCGCACUUCUGGCCGCGGGACCUGAAGGCCUUCUCGGCCCAGCCGCUGCUCGCCGCCCCCACCCACUACGCAGGGGACAGCGAGUGGCUCAGUGACACAGAAACGUCCUGUCCUUGGGACGACGACAGUGGCCGCCUCAUCAGCUGGACUGGCUCUCACAAGACCAUGCGCGACCCCCGCCUGGACCUGGCAGGAAGCAGCGGGCACAGCCUCCACCCCCACCCCCAGGACGAGCUCUAGGUGCGGUGGCAGGGAAGGGAUGGCAGCCCCCGGCCUGGGCCGCCCCGCUGCACACAGGGCUACGGUGCCCAUUUCAGCAAGUCCCCUCGCUGGGCAUCUGCGCGUCCUGCCCCUCAGGGUCCCCGUCCCACCAGGCCGAGAGAUGGCUCCGGAGGAGACCUGACCGCGCUGGCUGGCAGGAGCCAGGAAGCCAGCAGAGGACUGGCUGGCACCUCAGGCCCCAUCUUGGGAGAAACCACUCAGAGACGCAGCCGGGUCCCUUGGGGAAGUCACAUGGCCGAGCCGGGCCUCAGCCUUGAUGCAGGCUGGGCACAGCGGGCCCUGCCCUCCCUGGCCACACGGAAGCCGGGUCCCUGCCCUCUACCUCCCCGCACCCUGUCCUGAGGCAAGGCUGUCUCUCGGGACCUCCUCCAGCCAGUGGGAAGGAACUGCAGGGAGUGGGCGGCACACAGCGGCCCUCAAUAAAGGCCUGCAGCGUUUGCACUUAACUUUGUAACCGC